CACCUGACAUAUGACAUAUUGACACCUUGACAUAUGGAUUGACACCUGUCCUCAGAGCCCCUGAUGCACACGGACACAGAGCAGAAUAGAGACUGGUCCCCCUACAUAGCGUCACUUGGCAGAUAUGGAUUGACACCUGUCCUAAGGAUCCCUGAUACACACUGACACAGAGCAGAAUAGGGACUGUUCCCCCUGCAUAGGGUCACU
Molecule: long non-coding RNA, 207 nt
Filed under: Pelobates cultripes (western spadefoot toad)
Lineage: Eukaryota; Metazoa; Chordata; Amphibia; Anura; Pelobatidae
Source: RNAcentral